This is a long non-coding RNA of Falco peregrinus (peregrine falcon), 582 nucleotides long. RefSeq lists it as uncharacterized. The transcript has 2 exons. NCBI's taxonomy places the organism in Eukaryota, Metazoa, Chordata, Aves, Falconiformes, Falconidae. The record is from RefSeq and is a predicted model, not a curated record.
AUGACCUUCACCCCUGGAAGAAUCUUGAAUAAGAAGUGAACAGAAGUUAAAAGAACUUGAAUUCAUCAAAAGAAAAGUUAAUAAUGCAGAGCCACAUGGCACAGUCAACAGCCUGUGCAGUUCUUCCCUUUCUGCUCCUCUCUGCACCAUAGAUAUUAGCUAUCUCUUCCUGCCAAGUUGUUCAAUCAUUUAGACUCUAAGCAGCUAUUUUGCAGCUUCCGAGUUGAAGUUUCACACCUUAAAAAUGCCUUCCAUACUUUUUAAUUCGCCUUUGAUUUUCUUCAGUUGCAGCAACAUAUCAUAAUGCUUCACUUCAUACAUCUGACUUCAUUUUAACUAGCUGUUCAUUUUAUGCUCUCUCUAGUGCUUCUCUUAGGUAACACUGUGAUGAAUGAAGCUCGUCGCACGGAUUCUGUACUGAGACCCAGCUGAAGCAGCUCACCACCCAGAGUCUCCUUGUGAAGGGUACAGGUGGCCUGAACAAGUGACCAAGAAAGGGCCUUCUUCGUACUAGAAAACUUCCCUCAAAAGCCAUUUUACUCUGAGAGUAAAAUAAACCAAUUCUGCGGCUUUUAACAAUAA